AUACGGAGGGGGCUAGCGUUGUUCGGAAUUACUGGGCGUAAAGCGUCCGCAGGCGGAUAAUUAAGUUAGAGGUGAAAUCCCAGGGCUCAACCCUGGAACUGCCUUUAAAACUGGUUAUCUAGAGUUAUGGAGAGGUAAGUGGAAUUCCUAGUGUAGAGGUGAAAUUCGUAGAUAUUAGGAGGAACACCAGAGGCGAAGGCGGCUUACUGGACAUAUACUGACGCUGAGGGACGAAAGUGUGGGGAGCGAACGGGAUUAGAAACCCGGGUAGUCC
RNAcentral lists this ribosomal RNA (274 nucleotides) under uncultured bacterium. Its description in RNAcentral is "partial 16S ribosomal RNA". It matches the Rfam family "Bacterial small subunit ribosomal RNA", at positions 523 to 796 of the family's 1533-position model. The record is from RNAcentral.